UGGGGAAUUUUGGACAAUGGGGGCAACCCUGAUCCAGCAAUGCCGCGUGUGUGAAGAAGGCCUUCGGGUUGUAAAGCACUUUUGUCCGGAAAGAAAACGUCGUGGUUAAUACCCGUGGCGGCUGACGGUACCGGAAGAAUAAGCACCGGCUAACUACGUGCCAGCAGCCGCGGUAAUACGUAGGGUGCAAGCGUUAAUCGGAAUUACUGGGCGUAAAGCGUGCGCAGGCGGUCCGCUAAGACAGAUGUGAAAUCCCCGGGCUUAACCUGGGAACUGCAUUUGUGACUGGCGGGCUAGAGUAUGGCAGAGGGGGGUAGAAUUCCACGUGUAGCAGUGAAAUGCGUAGAGAUGUGGAGGAAUACCGAUGGCGAAGGCAGCCCCCUGGGCCAAUACUGACGCUCAUGCACGAAAGCGUGGGGGAGCAAACAGGAUUAGAUACCCUGGUAGUCCACGCCCUAAACGAUGUCAACUAGUUGUCGGGUCUUCAUUGACUUGGUAACGUAGCUAACGCGUGAAGUUGACCGCCUGGGGAGUACGGUCGCAAGAUUAAAAC
This 553-nucleotide ribosomal RNA is filed under the name uncultured bacterium. RNAcentral describes it as "partial 16S ribosomal RNA". It matches the Rfam family "Bacterial small subunit ribosomal RNA", at positions 355 to 900 of the family's 1533-position model. The record is from RNAcentral.